CGAGACUGCGCAUGCGCCUGCGCGAGCGACCCACGUGCUUUGUCCCGGCAGGCGCAUGCGCGAGCGAGCGAACAUGGCGACGCGCUGCACGUCUCGCGUUACCGGACAGUGAGACACACCGAGAGAGAAAACAAGAGAAACGGUUUUGUCAGUACUGCGUCUCGAUGCAGAUGCUCCAGGUGAAAUGAAUAAGGCACCUCAGCCUCUGUCAGGACCCCCCUCCGCCCCGCUUCCCGCGCCCACCCCGGGCCUGUCCCAGGUAACUCGCGUCACUCUUUCAGUCAUUGUGAUCCGGGAUGCACCGAUAUAUCGACCGAUAAUCUGUAUUAAAAACUAGGGCUGCACGAUUAAUCGAAUGAGAUUGUCAUGCGCAUCUUGUCAGUAAAGCCGGUUCUGUGAUCAGUAGUAAAUCUCCAUCACAUAAAUAGAGAUUUCAUUGCUAUUUAUCAUGCAGCCUUAAUAAAAACAACCGAUGAUUAUAUCCUGUCAAUCAAAAUGCGGCAAGAAAAUGUUUCAGACAGCAACUUGCGUGAAGAAAAUGUGUCUUGUCAAAUUUAUGGCUAUUUGAGUUAAAGCAGUAAUAUCUCAUUAAUGCAGGUUUUGUUUGAACUUAUAAACCAUAAGCCACCCAUAGUUCAAGCCAGGGUUGCCAGAUAUGUGUUUUUUCUUCACUAAACAUUAUUUGUAAUGUGCCUCAAAUCCAAUAAUCUUACUUCGGAUAAGAAAUACAAUCUCAGCUUUUAAAUCCUGUACGUUUUAUCGCAAAAUUCAAACAUUAAAUGUCGCAUUUAAAUGUGGCGUGACGUAUCGCUGUAGCGAUUCAGUUCAAGAGGCAGCACGGAGCUCGAGACUCUUCCUCUUUAAUACAAGUUAUAGCACAAAAUAAAUGUAAAUGAACAUCAGAAGAUAUGUUGAAAAAUAAAGUACAACUUACCGAAAUCUAUCAUGUCUAAUAUAAUCGUUUCAACAGAAAGUUCAUUAGUUAGCUAUGAAAACACUAGAGGGAG
This 1007-nucleotide long non-coding RNA is filed under the name Sinocyclocheilus anshuiensis. RNAcentral's name for it is "lncRNA (ENSSANG00000031804.1)". The record is from RNAcentral. Lineage: Eukaryota; Metazoa; Chordata; Actinopteri; Cypriniformes; Cyprinidae.